GAUGAACGCUGGCGGCGUGCCUAAUACAUGCAAGUCGAGCGAACGGACGAGAAGCUUGCUUCUCUGAUGUUAGCGGCGGACGGGUGAGUAACACGUGGAUAACCUACCUAUAAGACUGGGAUAACUUCGGGAAACCGGAGCUAAUACCGGAUAAUAUUUUGAACCGCAUGGUUCAAAAGUAAAAGACGGUCUUGCUGUCACUUAUAGAUGGAUCCGCGCUGCAUUAGCUAGUUGGUAAGGUAACGGCUUACCAAGGCAACGAUGCAUAGCCGACCUGAGAGGGUGAUCGGCCACACUGGAACUGAGACACGGUCCAGACUCCUACGGGAGGCAGCAGUAGGGAAUCUUCCGCAAUGGGCGAAAGCCUGACGGAGCAACGCCGCGUGAGUGAUGAAGGUCUUCGGAUCGUAAAACUCUGUUAUUAGGGAAGAAUAUAUGUGUAAGUAACUGUGCACAUCUUGACGGUACCUAAUCAGAAAGCCUCGGCUAACUACGUGCCAGCAGCCGCGGUAAUACGUAGGUGGCAAGCGUUAUCCCGAAUUAUUGGGCGUAAAGCGCGCGUAGGCGGUUUUUUAGUCUGAUGUGAAAGCCCACGGCUCAACCGUGGAGGGUCAUUGGAAACUGGAAAACUUGAGUGCAGAAGAGGAAAGUGGAAUUCCAUGUGUAGCGGUGAAAUGCGCAGAGAUAUGGAGGAACACCAGUGGCGAAGGCGACUUUCUGGUCUGUAACUGACGCUGAUGUGCGAAAGCGUGGGGAUCAAACAGGAUUAGAUACCCUGGUAGUCCACGCCGUAAACGAUGAGUGCUAAGUGUUAGGGGGUUUCCGCCCCUUAGUGCUGCAGCUAACGCAUUAAGCACUCCGCCUGGGGAGUACGACCGCAAGGUUGAAACUCAAAGGAAUUGACGGGGACCCGCACAAGCGGUGGAGCAUGUGGUUUAAUUCGAAGCAACGCGAAGAACCUUACCAAAUCUUGACAUCCUUUGACAACUCUAGAGAUAGAGCCUUCCCCUUCGGGGGACAAAGUGACAGGUGGUGCAUGGUUGUCGUCAGCUCGUGUCGUGAGGUGUUGGGUUAAGUCCCGCAACGAGCGCAACCCUUAAGCUUAGUUGCCAUCAUUAAGUUGGGCACUCUAAGUUGACUGCCGGUGACAAACCGGAGGAAGGUGGGGAUGACGUCAAAUCAUCAUGCCCCUUAUGAUUUGGGCUACACACGUGCUACAAUGGACAAUACAAAGGGCAGCGAAACCGCGAGGUCAAGCAAAUCCCAUAAAGUUGUUCUCAGUUCGGAUUGUAGUCUGCAACUCGACUACAUGAAGCUGGAAUCGCUAGUAAUCGUAGAUCAGCAUGCUACGGUGAAUACGUUCCCCGGGUCU
This 1372-nucleotide ribosomal RNA is filed under the name uncultured bacterium. Its description in RNAcentral is "bacterial SSU rRNA". It matches the Rfam family "Bacterial small subunit ribosomal RNA", at positions 28 to 1381 of the family's 1533-position model. The record is from RNAcentral.